Molecule: long non-coding RNA, 4313 nt
Organism: Oncorhynchus tshawytscha (Chinook salmon)
Lineage: Eukaryota; Metazoa; Chordata; Actinopteri; Salmoniformes; Salmonidae
Source: Ensembl
GGGCGAACUGCAAGGGACACAGCCGAGGGAGAGGGACGAACUGCAAGGGACACAGCCGAGGGAGAGGGACGAACUGCAAGGGACACAGCCGAGGGAGAGGGACGAACUGCAGGGGACACAGCUGAGGGACAGGGAGCGGGACAUGGUGUUCCUCAAUGAGCUGCAGGACACACAGCUGUGGGACAAGGAGACCUGUAGCAGUCCACAGCAUCAUAAUGUGACUCAGUCAGAGAGCCUGUCCAGUCUGGAUAGCUUGGAGAUGGAGGACGGCUUAAACCACAACAACACAGUACAGAGAGUCCACAGCUCUUGGUUAGAUCACCAGAGACACCCCAAUGGUCCAUCCUCUGACUUGUCCUUUUGUCCACCAACAAAGAGUGUCCUAAGUGGUAACCUCCUAAUCCAACAGGGCAAAGUUGAUGCUAGCCCUCAGCCACCCAGACCAAGGCAGACAGAGGAGUCUGUCGAAGAUUGUAACAGCAGACUGCACCAGCUCUCUCAGGCCACCGGGUGGCAGAGUUGUACAGACCAAUCAUCAUCACAGAGUAACACUAUAACCCAGUCCCCACUCCUCAGUGUCAGUCACCACAGCCUGCUAACUCUGAGUGGGAUUAUAGACACAUCCUCAAUACGUUCAGAUAGCGGUGACCAACACUCUCAGGAGAGGGAAAGUCAUCUGAGGGGGGACCACAGAGUCUCGGGGGUCGUAGUGUGCUCCAAGGCUUCUACCCCAGACAGAACGCUGCUAGAGUUCACCUCUUGUCUGAUCCCAGAGGGAAAGUUAGAAUUUAGGCAGCAGGUGAGAGACCCGGAGGACAAGUAUUCCAAACAACCGUCGGCGACACAGGUCCUUCUGCCUGGGAAAACUUGCAGCCACAAAGACCUUCUGUGUGAAGCCCCCUCCUCAUACCCUGAUCAUAUCCUCAGUUAUAACACUAAAAGUAGCUCAGGGGUCCGAGAGGACACGGCCAACAUUCAGCCAACAAAAAGCACACAACACCAGUCACACGGGAGCAAACCCAGUGUAGAAGAUGCCAUGAACAACCUCAACAAAGGGUCCAACUCUGAGCCCAAAGCAGGGUCCGAGCCCAAAGCAAGGACCAACUCUGAGCCCAAAGCAGGGUCCAACUCUGAGCCCAAAGCAGGGUCCAACUCUGAGCCCAAAGCAGGGCCCAACCCUAAGCCCAAAGCAGGGCCCAACUCUGAGCCCAAAGCAAGGACCAACUCUGAGCCUAAAGCAAGGACCAACUCUGAGCCCAAAGCAAGGCCCAACUCUGAGCCCAAAGCAGGGUCCAACUCUGAGCCCAAACCCGAGAGGUCUAAGAACACAGACCCUCUCAGUCAGACAUUGGGUCAUUGUAAUAUCAGGUCUGACUUCCCUAAAGGCCUAAAGAGCCUGCAGGUGGAAAUAACACCAACACACCUCCCAGAUACACCUCCAUCUCCUCCACCUGUAGCUGCUGUCAGCACAGCCACAGAUCAUAAAGGCACUGAAGUCCGAUGCAUAAAGGGAAUUCUUAAAAAAGAAUCAAAAUAUGGCGUGUCGGGAGGAAACGCCUGUUCUGGUAUGUAUAACGCCAGGCAUUUAAUAUUCACCAAACAAUUCACCAUGUCCAUCAGAGAUAGUGUGGAACUGACCAGAAGGAAAGGCAAGGAUGCAGACAAGAUGAUCAAAAAGAAGAUACGCUGGUUUGACGAGGUAAAUCUGGAGGAAGAGGAGGAGAUGGAACGGAGUCCUAUAACAAACAACAAGUGUGUUUCUGAGUAUCCACUACCUCCAUAUAAACACUCAGCAUCAUCAGACCACCAACAGGGUCAGGGCCAGACGGUGGCCACCAACACCCCUCUGGCCUCCACCGGCUAUCACUUUACCAAGCAGGCCUGGGCAGAUGUCAGGGUCCAGGAGAGCAGGCUGCAGGGGCACCAGGGGAUCCAGGAGAGAGGCCAGGAGGCCAGGGAGACAAGAGUGGAAGCCAGGGAGGUCAAGGUCCAGCGGGGGAGCAGUGGGAGAACUGUGUGCCCCAGAGUCCCCAGGAGAGUGAGAUCUGCCAGGGCAGGGAUGGAUCCUGUUUCGUCCCGCUCCAGAAAAGGCACGGUCAUCAGACCCCAAUCUGCUACGGAGGCCAGCAGCCACGUGGCCUGGGUGACCCACAGGAAGGUCAUGGUGCCUCGUCCCCCGCCCCGCACUGAAACCAUGGAACCAAAAACACACACAAGAGAGACGGAUGCUGUAGUAUCAUACACCACCAAGACUCCUUACAACAUGGAUCACUCUAAUGACACCACCAAGACUCCUUACAAAAUGGAUCCCACUAAUCACACCACCAAGACUCCUUACAAAAUGGAUCACUCUAAUGACACCACCAAGACUCCUUACAAAAUGGAUCCCACUAAUCACACCACCAAGACUCCUUACAAAAUGGAUCACUCUAAUGACACCACCAAGACUCCUUACAAAAUGGAUCCCACUAAUCACGCCACCAAGACUCCUUACAAAAUGGAUCACUCUAAUGACACCACCAAGACUCCUUACAAAAUGGAUCCCACUAAAUACACCACCAAGACUCCUUACAAAAUGGAUCCCACUAAUCACACCACCAAGACUCCUUACAACAUGGAUCACUCUAAUGACACCACCAAGACUCCUUACAACAUGGAUCCCUUUAAUGACACCACCAAGACUCCUUACGACAUGGAUCACUCUAAUGACACCACCAAGACUCCUUACAACAUGGAUCAGUCUAACUCUGCUGCUACUAAAGCAGGGAUUCCUGUAGAUGAGGCUUUGUGUAAUAAUAACACCAUGGACAGCCUCGCUUCGUCCCAGACCCGUACACAUGUCAUUAGUGCAGAUAGCAGCAUUAUUUCCAACCCAUCCAAGGCCACCCCCAUGUCAGGCCAGCAGGACGCCCAGGGAGAGGCUGCCAGAUGGGGACUUCUGUACCAUGAGAAUGGCCUCUGUCUGGACCGUACUCCCACAGACGAGGAGAUCUCCCAGCUCUGGCAUGGAGUCCGUAGUGCCUUAGCCACCAAGGACGGUGACCCUAUAACUGUCCUGCCUCAAGCACGUGCCAACCUGUCUCGCGUUACUAUCAACGGGGACUGCCUGAUCAACGGAGUUAAAGCCAUCACCACGAUGGGAGACUUCUUCCUCUCCCCAACCAAUGCCAGGAGCGUGGUGAGGAGACGACCCCAGGAGAGUCGUGGUAGUGGGGCCAGGAGGAGAGGAACAACUGGCUCAGGGAACAGAAGGCUGCCUCUACCCUCCCAGUCUCAGACCAUGGUGCUGAUAACACCAUUACACAGCAAACAUGACCUGACACGUCAACAUGAAGAGUAUGCAGAAGUGGAGGCCCACAGUGAAGGCCUGCUGGCAGACAGUGAUAUAGUGUUUGCCAAGGAGACGGUGCCAUCCCAGAGGCUAGAGCCAGGUGGAGGUCACAGCCAGCACCAGGGCCAAUCGAUCACUACCAGCCACAGCCAGGGGCACCACGCCCGGGGGCACCAGGGGCACCAAGCCCGGGGACACCAAGCCCAAGAGCAGGGCCAGGUCUCCACCAUCACCAACAUCUCCCUGGAGGAGCAGAAAGUGCUGCUGUCCCUGAAUCGACUCAAUCGUCGGCUGCAAUAUGUGCAGGCCUCAGCUGGAGGCAGCCCUGCAGAUAAAGCUUUCCUAUGUGGUGAAGCGCCCUUUACAGAGGAAGGGACGGGUGCUGCCCACCGUAAACACCGCACGGUCUCCACCGACAACCGCCCGAGAACCCAGAGGAGAUUCUGACACAACGGUCCAAUAUGGCCGCCUGAAUGUCACUCUGUCAGCUUGUGCUUCACUCCAACCUUAUACACUGCUGCAAAAAUAUCUUUAUAAUAACCCUCCCCGAGUUUCAGCACCACCACUAACUCUCUCUGCUGGGAUGAAGACUUCACAACCCAGGACUGUGAAUAAGUCCAUUAUCAAAUGACAGUACUUAUAUUGACUUAUUUACACAUUAUAGCUUCAGUCUUAUAUACAGCCAGGCUUUGCUAUUUGGUUUUGGCCUUUAAUUGAUAGAGAUUAUUUUUGUAUUGAAUAAAUAUAUUUAUUUUCCUGAAAAAUUGUGCGGUGUGUGUAUAUAUUGUACACAAUGAUUGUACACAAUGUAUUGUGUAUCGUAUUGGUACCAUUGUAUUGUACACAAUGAUACCAAUAGGAUUGUAUACUGAUGUGUGUCAGUGUGUAAACUAAUCUUGAUAAUGAUGAAGCAAAAUAAAGUCAUUCUGUCCUCACGUUUAGUUCCGUUUCUGAAAGGUGACGCCGUUUGUUGCGGAUUGUC